Hymenopellis radicata is the source of this 85-nucleotide non-coding RNA. NCBI's taxonomy places the organism in Eukaryota, Fungi, Basidiomycota, Agaricomycetes, Agaricales, Physalacriaceae. The record is from the annotation of a GenBank genome assembly.
ACACCGAUGGUGAAGCGGUUAUCAUGCUUGCCUUCCAUGGAGCGGGAUUGAGCAAGCGGCAGGGGUUCGACUCCCCUUCGGUGUA